This 150-nucleotide unclassified non-coding RNA is filed under the name Oryza sativa (Asian cultivated rice). RNAcentral describes it as "partial microRNA MIR468h-2-as precursor". Lineage: Eukaryota; Viridiplantae; Streptophyta; Magnoliopsida; Poales; Poaceae. The record is from RNAcentral.
CUAUUCCAUCCGUUCCAAAAAAAAAACGAACAUAUGACUGGAUGUGACACAUUCUAAUACAAUGAAUCUGGACAGAUGUAUGUCCAGAUUCGUAGUAUUAGAAUGUGUCACAUCUAGUACUAGGUUGGUUUUUUAUGGGACGAAGGGAGC